GUCUUCUCGUGAAUUUUUGAGAAGUCGGACCUGCCCAGUGACUAGUUUGUUUAACGGCCGCGGUAUACUGACUGUGCAAAGGUAGCAUAAUCAUUAGUUCUUUAAUAGGGAACUGGUAUGAAUGGUUUGACGAAACAAUAGCUGUCUCAGCUUUAUUUUUAAAAUUUAUCUUUUAGGUUAAAAGACUUAAAUUUAGUUGGAAGACGAGAAGACCCUAUAGAGCUUUAUAUGUUUUUUGUAUAUUUUUUAUUAUUAAAUCUAUUUAAACUGCUUAUUUUGUUGGGGUGAUUAUUAAAUAUAAAUAACUUUAUUAUUAAUUUUCCAUUUAUUUAUGAUUUGUUAGAUCCUUUAUUAUUGAUUAUUAGAUUAAGUUACCUUAGGGAUAACAGCGUUAUUUUCUUUUAGAGUUCAAAUUCACAAGAAAGAUUGCGACCUCGAUGUUGGAUUAAGAUAAUAGUUUGGUGCAGAAGCUUAACUAAUAGGUCUGUUCGACCUUUAAAUUCUUACAUGAUCUGAGUUCAAACCGG
Molecule: ribosomal RNA, 527 nt
Filed under: Devadatta clavicauda
Lineage: Eukaryota; Metazoa; Arthropoda; Insecta; Odonata; Devadattidae
Description: partial 16S ribosomal RNA
Rfam family: Bacterial large subunit ribosomal RNA
Source: RNAcentral